CGUAGGUGCGAGCGUUGUCCGGAAUUACUGGGCGUAAAGAGUUCGUAGGCGGUUUGUCGCGUCGUGUGUGAAAUCCCGCAGCUCAACUGCGGGCUUGCAGGCGAUACGGGCAGACUUGAGUACUGCAGGGGAGACUGGAAUUCCUGGUGUAGCGGUGAAAUGCGCAGAUAUCAGGAGGAACACCGGUGGCGAAGGCGGGUCUCUGGGGCAGUAACUGACGCUGAGGAACGAAAGCGUGGGUAGCGAACAGGAUU
RNAcentral lists this ribosomal RNA (254 nucleotides) under uncultured bacterium. Its description in RNAcentral is "partial 16S ribosomal RNA". It matches the Rfam family "Bacterial small subunit ribosomal RNA", at positions 526 to 779 of the family's 1533-position model. The record is from RNAcentral.